CCUACGGGAGGCAGCAGUGAGGAAUAUUGGUCAAUGGCCGAGAGGCUGAACCAGCCAAGUCGCGUGAGGGAAGACGGCCCUACGGGUUGUAAACCUCUUUUGUCGGGGAGCAAAGAGAGUCACGUGUUCCUUUUUGUAUGUACCAUAUGAAUAAGCAUCGGCUAACUCCGUGCCAGCAGCCGCGGUAAUACGGAGGAUGCGAGCGUUAUCCGGAUUUAUUGGGUUUAAAGGGUGCGUAGGUGGUUAAUUAAGUCAGCGGUGAAAGUUUGUGGCUCAACCAUAAAAUUGCCGUUGAAACUGGUUGACUUGAGUAUAUUUGAGGUAGGCGGAAUGCGUGGUGUAGCGGUGAAAUGCAUAGAUAUCACGCAGAACUCCGAUUGCGAAGGCAGCUUACUAAACUAUAACUGACACUGAAGCACGAAAGCGUGGGGAUCAAACAGGAUUAGAUACCCUAGUAGUC
This 460-nucleotide ribosomal RNA is filed under the name uncultured bacterium. Its description in RNAcentral is "partial 16S ribosomal RNA". It matches the Rfam family "Bacterial small subunit ribosomal RNA", at positions 338 to 795 of the family's 1533-position model. The record is from RNAcentral.